Molecule: long non-coding RNA, 2680 nt
Filed under: Xyrichtys novacula (pearly razorfish)
Lineage: Eukaryota; Metazoa; Chordata; Actinopteri; Labriformes; Labridae
Source: RNAcentral
UGUAAUUGGAGCGAUGGAUUGUAGCCAUGUGCGUCUGAAGCCACCAUGCAUGAAUGAUUACACAUUUAUCAAUCGCAAAAAUUACCAUUCGAUCAAUUUGCAAGUCAUUUGUGAUGCCAAGCUGGCAUUACUAAAUGUGGUAGCCAAGUGGCUGGGAGGGAUGCACGAUUCUUUUAUACUUCAAAAUAGAAGUGUCUGUGCACGGCUACAGUCAGAGUCAUCUCCUCGGUAAGUGGCCUGAAUAAAUCUGCAAUAGGAUUGAAGCAAAGUCUGAUGUUGUCUGACGUUUCCAUGUAGUUAUUUUUCUAGGUGACAAAGGUUAUGCCCUGACGGAGUACCUGGUAACCCCACUGGCAAACCUGACCACAGAGAGGGAGUGGCAAUUCAUUGCGCACACACGCACAGGUGUCACUGUGGAGCGCUGAUUUGAUCUCCUGAAGGGCAGGUGGUUCUGUCUUGCUCCAGCAGGGGGAAAAUUGCUGUACACACCCGAAAAGGUGUGUGACAUCAAUUUGGCUUGUGCGGUUUUGCUCAACGUGGCGUUGGUAAAUGGCGUGCCAUUGGAUGUGCCGGUGCAAAGAGAGGACGCGAUGCCUAUUGAACCGUGGCAAGGCGACGCUCCACCAGGUGCUGUACUGAUGAGACGGCACCUGACCAACCGCUUCUAAAAUGUUGGUAGGCCUUUAAGUUGAGGAAGUUCUGACUAUUUAACUGAUUUAAUGGCUAAAAUCAGACGAAUUGAAUUAAACUACACUACGGGCCAAAAGUUUGGAAGCAAGGCCAUUACAGGCCGAACAGUUGGAAGUAACUUCAAGUUUUUGAUCACAAUGCUUUUUUUUUAAAUCCAGCAUGAGUUUUAUGUAUUUUGGGAUGUAUUUACUCCAUGAACAGAUGUUGCUUUCAUGGAAAUGCACCAUUUUACUCCAUUUACCUUUAAAUAUACAUUGAUGUCAACAGACCAUGGCUAAAUUUAUGUCAGCAAAAGAUAAUAAGGGCUUAGUUUUAGGGUUGAAAACAUUGGCAAGAGUCACAACUUCAGUGCAAAAGCAAAAAAAACCCAAAUCACAGUUGGAUUAUUCACUUCUCCUUUUUGGCUUUUUUAGAGGCUGCAUACAAAAAUCCUAAUAAAUCUCAACUGCGUUCAAACUAGUGCAGAAAUGGCUAGAAAGAAGCCAUUGAAUAAAGAAACAAAAGUACAGAUUCGUACAUUGAGGACAGAAGGAUACACAGAAAGAGAAAUUGCAAAACGCCUAAAGGUGUUUAACAAAGGAGUCCACUACACUCCGAAGAGACUAGAGGAACCUGGAAGUUAUGAUGAUAGACAAAGGCCUAGAUGAAAGAGAGUUACUACAAAAGCAGAGGAUAAACAUAGCAUUGUCACCAGUAAGAGAGAUCGGUGAAAGACAGCGCCACAAAUAAGGGAGGAAAUCAACAUGACCAGGUUGAAACCCAUAUCUCUGACAACCGUGAAAUGUCGUUUGAGAAAGGCUGGUCUGAAGGGUUGUGUAUCUGCAAAAAACACUACUUCGUCCACAGAACAAGAAAAACAGAUAUGAGUGGGCAAAAGCUCACAAAAAAUGGACUUAUGAUGACUAGAAACACGUUUGCACUUUUUGGUUCAAAACGAAGAGUCUAUGUCCGCAGACAAACUAGUGAACUUCUGAAUGCACCAUGUGUUACACCCCCAAUUCAGCAUGGAGGUGGUAGUUCCAUGGUAUGGGGAUGUUUUGCAGGUGAUGGAGUAGGAGAUUUGUUUGAAUUAAAGGGUAUCAUGAAGAAGGAACAAUACCACUCCAUCCUCCAGCACCAUGCUGUUCCAUCUGGACUCAGACUUGUGGCCCAUAAGUUUGUUUUGCAGCAAGACAAUGACCCUAAGCACUCUGCCAAGUUCUGUCAGGGUUACAUAGACAAAAAAAAGAGGAAGGUGUUCUUCAAAAGAUGGUUUGGCCCCCUCAAUCUCCAGACCUUUCUCAAUUGAGCUUGCGCGGGAUGAAUUGGAUUGAUCGGUCAGAAAAACGCAUCCCACGAAUCAGCAGUCACUUUUUAAUAAAUUUAAGAAAGCUUGAAAUGCAAUCCCUGGAACAUACCUUAGAAAACUUGUGGAACGAAUGCCUGGUACAUGCCAAGCUGUUGUUAAAGCCAGAGGAGGUUACUUUAAAGAAAGCAAAGUCUAAGCAACAAUAACUCAGAUACCUAAUAAUUAUGGUCAAAAUGUCUUCUGAUUAAUUACUCUUUACACAAUAGUCAUGUUUAUUGUGUUGCAAAUUAUAUAUGUGUGAAACUGUGAUCUUUUUUUGUACGAAUCUGCUCUUGCUUCCAAACUUUUGGCCUGUAGUGUAAAUGCUUGAAAUAAAAAAAAUAAAGAUUAUUAUAUUCAAGAAAUUUUAUUUAUUCAAAUUGUCAUUUAUUCUCUGUCAAGUUUCGUUGAUUGCCUCAAGUGAGGUCACAACUGCCGCCAAUAAACGGCAAAUCUCCGUUUGUCUUUCUAGGACCUCCGCAGUGAUAAUGGCCCUUGCAGUACGGGAAGCUGGUACUCGCUCGCCCUCAGUGCUCAGCUGUCUCCGUUCGGGGUCUGGAUCAGUGGGACCGUCCUCAUUGCGCACAGACGUCGCCACCGUGCUGCUGGAGCCUGGCUCUGAAAUCAUAAUUGAGGACAAUAAAAAAUGUGCAAAUGUAAAAA